Molecule: ribosomal RNA, 301 nt
Filed under: uncultured bacterium
Lineage: Bacteria
Description: partial 16S ribosomal RNA
Rfam family: Bacterial small subunit ribosomal RNA
Source: RNAcentral
CAGCCGCCGCGGUAAUACGUAGGUGGCAAGCGUUGUCCGGAUUUAUUGGGCGUAAAGCGAGCGCAGGCGGUUUCUUAAGUCUGAUGUGAAAGCCCCCGGCUCAACCGGGGAGGGUCAUUGGAAACUGGGAGACUUGAGUGCAGAAGAGGAGAGUGGAAUUCCAUGUGUAGCGGUGAAAUGCGUAGAUAUAUGGAGGAACACCAGUGGCGAAGGCGGCUCUCUGGUCUGUAACUGACGCUGAGGCUCGAAAGCGUGGGGAGCAAACAGGAUUAGAUACCCCAGUAGUCCCUGUCUCUUAUCC